UGUUAGUUUCAGGUAUAAAAAAGUGAAUCAGUUAUACAUAUAUUCAUUCUUUCUCAGAUUCUUUUCCCAUAUAGUUAUUAUAGAAUAUUGAGUAGAUUUCCCUGUGCUUUACAGCAUGUCCUUGUUGAUUAUCUAUUUUAUACAUAGCAGUAGGUAUAUGCUAAUCCCAAGCUCCUAAUUUCUCCUCCUACCCCUACAUUUCCCCUUUGGUAACUGUAAAUUUGAUUUUGAAAUCUGUGAGUCUGUUCCUGUUUUGUAAAUAAGUUCUUUUGUAUCAUUUUUAUUAGAUUCCACAUAUAGGUGAUGUCAUAUGAUAUUUCUCUUUCUCUGUCUGACUUACUUCACUUUGUAUGAUAAUCUCUAGGUCCAUCCAUGUUGCUGCAAAUGGCAUUGUUUCAUGCUUUUUUUCCCCAUAAAGUCAUUCCUGAUUGCAUUGUGGUUUUCACUUAAUCAUGUUCAGUGUCUUGUUGUACUGCUUUGGUGACCCUCAUUCUGGCAUCUCAUAGCAUCUUUCAGUUGUUUCAGGUUAGAUUUAUAUUGGCAAAUAAACAGUAAGUCCCAAGAGGGCAGGGCUUUGUUUUAUGGCACAGAUAACUGUAGUGUCUGGCACAGUGUAGAAUAUAUGAUGGAUGUUUAUGACUUGCUUGAGUCACAAGUGGAAGGAAUGACUGAACUUGAUAAUUCCACAUUUUGAAAUGAAUGUUUAGUAGCACCAAGGGGCAUGUUUUUUAUGGUGCAUCCCAUAUAACCAGAUAAUUCACCUCUGACUAUAAAUUGGUAUCCUCCUCAAAUUCAUCUUUCAAGGCACUUAAAAUCUCUGAAAUUACAUCCUUACUCUCUUGUCAUUACAUAUAUUCUUCCUGGGUCAUCUCAAUUCCUCUGAUGAUGGUAAAUUUUCUUAUGUGUAAGGACUUACAAAUGUGUGUUUCUGGCCCAGAAUUUUCACCCUGAGCUCCCAAUGUACAUAUCUAACUUCACCAUCAUCUCUCUGUGUUCCUGUAGAACUUGUACAAAUCACAUCCACAAUUAAAUACAGGAGGGUACAUGUGGGAAAGACAAAAAACAAAAUACAUUUAAAAUCAUUUUCAUGUCUAUGUCCCUGUACUAGACAAGGCUCUCCUUGAAGGAAGAAAUGAGUCUUGUUCAUCUUUAAAUGCUCAGCAUACAACAUAAGCUGAAACAAAGUAGGAAUUUAAUAAAUCUGAAUGAAUAAAUAAUGUACAAAAAUAUGAGCUGGUUCCUGCUGUAAAUGACUAAAAAUCAACAUGGUAUGUAGAAUGUUUACAGAACAUUCUCACUGGGCCAUAGUUCUACACAAUCCCUUCACAGGCGUCUCUGGAUGGGUGCUUGCCAUCUCCCUCCCACCAUGCUUGCCAUCUCCCUCCCACCAUGCAUACUCCAUACACACAGGUGCAGUUAUCAGAAUGAGGGCUCACCUUGCUACCUGGUGUGGUGGGAGGAGACAAACCUGAACUUGGUCUGCACCCUGAUGUGCUCCCCCACUGAAGAGCUGGGUCCUCUCAGUGCACCCCCAUCUGCCUCACAUGUGACUUCUUCUGCCCUCUACUUUUCUCUCCUUUUCUAAAUGAAAAAGCCAUCAUUUCUGACACCAAGAAUGGAAAAGAAGAUGCUUUCGAAGAAGGAACUUAAAAAAUGAACUAGGGACAAACCUACAUUUAACCAACUGGCAUAUUUUUCAAUUUAAUUUGGCUUUAUGGGUAAAGACAUUGGUUUUAAAAUUUAAAUACUAAGAAAUCAGGAAAUAGGUGUAUUUGGAGGGUGCACUGAUGGGGCAGAUUGAUAGGAAAGGUUUAACAGGAAAUAUUUUAUCAAAACAAUGACUCAUCCUGUAUUCCUAGGUCCUCAAAUUGUAAUAGUUUCUUCUAAAUCCACAUUAAAUGUUGACAGCUGCUACAGGAAUGUGCUUCAAAUUCCAUCCUGAUAUUCUAAUUUUCUCACUUUCAAUCAUUUAUUUGUCUUCAGUUACUUUGUUUUGUUUUUUGGUUUUGGUCCCUGCACUGACAAAGAAGACAGGAAUGUUCACGCUAUUUUAUCAAAGGCUGGGUGGGGCGGCGGGGCUCAUCUGCCCAUUAGAAGUGCAACCAGGUGAUGGAGGCAGCACAGGAAGAUGGGGUCCUUGACCAAAUGGUCAAGGUUGAUUUCCUCUGGAUGGCCAAGAAGCCACUGAGAACCUAGGGUGCAGUGCGUAGGGAGUAGGGGGCAAGGAUGCUGGCUGGUAGGAGACCCAGUGAGGGGCAGGAGGGUUGGGGGGAGGCAGCCAGGAGCACUGCAGGGUGAGGGUGGGAGGGAUGUGGGGUGAUCCGCUGAGAGUUGGAGCUCAUAGGCCUUCUAUGUGCAGCCUGGUGGCAGGGUGGGUAACAGGCAGGGGCAGGGCAUGCAGCCAAGGGCGGGCUCCUGUGCUACAGAGAAAGCUGGACCUCACAAGUCCCCUCAAAGUGCCAGGUCCAGGUUGGCUUUCAGACUUAUUCUAGAAAAAGUGGGAUCUCCUCUGUCUAUCAACACUCAGACCGUCACUUCUCCAAUUGUUCCUGACUGCGUCUGUUACACUUACGUUAAACAGAUGACUACACUAAGUGGCUUCAUUACAAUAAUUCUCUUUCUGAUCUUUGGCCUCAACUUUUCAUCGGCCGGUUAAGUUUGUUUCUUCUAGAAUACAACAAACAAGUCUCCAAAUGAUAUACAGUGGGGAUAUCAACCAAUCAACACCUGACAAUGUUGAAAAAAGCCAUCACAGCGCCCCGUGGGGCCACACCGCCCUCUUCAGGAAUGCCCUGAGAGCAGGCAGAAGGAACCCAGAGCCCUGCAACACCCACGUUCAGCAGGAAGCAGCCAGAAUGGUUGUCGCCCCUCUUCCCUUAUAAUCUGGGUUCCCAGAUGCCAUAGAGGGAAACAUGAGCAGGGUGUUCAAAGGGGCCAAAGACUUGCCCCAAGAGAAAGAAGGAAGAAUGUUAACUUCGAGUCCCCCUCAAAGAGACUCUACUCAAAGCCUCUGGCCAAGACAAGAAUUACCAGAUCCUUAUCAUUGCCCUACAGGUGGCACUGUAAUGCCCCUCCCCGACCUUACGAGCAAAGGUAUGCGGCCCACUCCUCAUCACGCCUUCGCUGGGUCAAUAAGAACACAGGAACGUCCCUAUAACCUGCCCCGCGUGCAAAUACGGUAUCUUGCCCGAGACCAAUGGGAAGAUCAAAUAUGCCCCAUGAGAGACCAAUCGACACUCAGCCCUUACACUCGCGGUGGGCCAGGGCGGGAUGGAUCACUGGGCCGGGGUGGGAGAAGCAGGCCCCCACUCAGGUCCCUAGCGUGGGGACACAAGGAAAACCCACCUGUGAAGCGGGCCAGUCCCUGCGUGCCCGGCGGCCCCGCUCUCGCUCCCAGUGUACCUGUGCUUUCAUAAACCUGCCCUAACGCGCCCACCGUUUCAAGUCUCUGCUGCUGCGGCAACAA
Molecule: long non-coding RNA, 3466 nt
Filed under: Sus scrofa (pig)
Lineage: Eukaryota; Metazoa; Chordata; Mammalia; Artiodactyla; Suidae
Description: lncRNA (ENSSSCG00015070632.1)
Source: RNAcentral